RNAcentral lists this transfer RNA (72 nucleotides) under Camelus bactrianus (Bactrian camel). It matches the Rfam family "tRNA". Rfam says of the family: Transfer RNA (tRNA) molecules are approximately 80 nucleotides in length. Their secondary structure includes four short double-helical elements and three loops (D, anti-codon, and T loops). The record is from Rfam by way of RNAcentral. RNAcentral also lists the same sequence under 2 other names. Lineage: Eukaryota; Metazoa; Chordata; Mammalia; Artiodactyla; Camelidae.
CGAGGUAUAGCUCAAUGGUAGAGUGCUUGACUAGCAUGCACAAGGUCUUGGAUUCAAUCCCCAGUAUCUCCA